Molecule: ribosomal RNA, 2869 nt
Filed under: Candidatus Woesearchaeota archaeon
Lineage: Archaea; Nanobdellati; Candidatus Woesearchaeota
Description: 23S ribosomal RNA
Rfam family: Archaeal large subunit ribosomal RNA
Source: RNAcentral
AUUAGGUGGAUAGCUUGGCUUGAGAGGCGAAGAAGGAUGUGACAAGCUGCAUUAAGCCUAGGCGAGGUGCAUGUAACCUUUGAACCUAGGAUCUCCGAAUGUGACUUCACAAUAAGUCCUAACGGACAGCGAACGCGGGGGAUGGAAACAUCUUAGUACCCGCAGGAAAAGAAAUCAAUUGAGAUGCUGUGAGUAUCAGCGAGAGAAAGCAGCACAGGGCAAACUGAAUCUGUUACAGUAAUGUAAUAGAGAUGUGGUGUUUUGGACAUUCUUUUGACCCUAAUUAGCUUAGUUGAACUCUCCUGGAAUGGAGGACGGAAAAGGGUGAUAGUCCCGUAGAUUAAGGCUAAUGGGCUUUGAAUGUAUCCAGAGUACUGCCUCUUGGAUAUGAGGUAGGAAUUUGGGGGCCAUCAACCUCCAACCCUAAAUACUCCUCAAGACCGAUAGCGCAGAAGUACCGCGAGGGAAAGCUGAAAAGAACUCUUGGCAGAGAGUUAAAAGACCUUGAAACCUAAUAGUUAUAGUGGGAUAGUCCUCUUAGGAGGCCUAUCGUGCGUUUUGAAUAACGUGCCAGGGAGUAUAUCUGUGUGGCGAGCAUAAUCCUGUUAAGGGAGCAUGCGAAGGGAAACCAAUUUUCGCGCAAGCAAUGAGGCGAAUGGUAUGAAAGUGCCAUGUAGUCACAUGGAUACGACCCGAAACCGGGUGAUCUAAUCUUGGGUAGGGUGAAGCCCCCGUAAAAAGGGGUGGAGGCCCGAAGAAGUUCUGCGUGCAAGCGUUUUUCUAACUUGAGAUUAGGGGUGAUAAGCCCAUCGAACCCGGUGAUAGCUGGUUCCGAUCGAAAUUGGCCGCAGUCAAGCCUGGAGGGAGAUAGUAUUACAGGUAGAGAGACGGAUUGGGGAUUUAGGGCCUUAACAGGCUCGGUCUCUUGUCCAACUCCGAAUGGUAAUACAUUGUAGAUCUCUGGAGACGGGGGAGCGGGGUAAACUCGUUCUCCUCGAGGGAAACAACCCAGACCAUGGUUAAGGUCCCUAAAUGCUAUUUGAGUGCUAUGGGGCGAAGAUCGUUUACAACCAAAGACAGCGAGGAGGUUUGCUUAGAAGCAGCAAUCCUUUAAAAAGUGCGUAACAGCUUACUCGUCAAGGUUGUAAGCAUCCAAAAUGGACGGGGCUAAAUUAGCUACCGAUACCAUGGAGUACAGCAAUGUAUCUGGUAGGUCGGUGUACUGUUAGGGUAGAAGCAUGCUCACGCGAGUAUGUGGACCUGACUGUAAUAAAAAUCCUGGCGGUAGUAGGAUCUUAGCAGAUUGAGAAUAUCUGCCACUGAAAGGGCAAGGGUUCCUUGGCAAUGUAGAUCAGCCAAGGGUUAGUCGAUCCUAACCGAGCUCGGAAAACGAGUGUGUUCGGGAAAGGGAAACAGGUUAAUAUUCCUGUACUUAUCAAGUAUGUGUGGCAACACAAGUUUGACUUUGGACGUUUUUGGCUAGACCGACAGUGAUAAACUGUUAAUAAGCAUAAAUCAAGGGAGUAUCAUUAUGAUGAGAACUUGAUUAAAGCUUAGAAUAGUAUCACUUAAGUGGUAUUCGGUUGAUGCCUGGAACCCGUGAAAACAGAGUCAAAACAAAUCUUGAUAACUCGUACCAAGAACCAGCACUGGUGCCCCUAGGUGAGAAGCCUAAAGUGUGAAAGGAUAAUCUAGGUAAGGGAACUCGGCAAAUUGGCCCCGUACCUUCGGAAUAAGGGGUCCCUGGUUUCGUGAACGUAUGUUUGCGAUUUCAGGGUGCAAAAACCAAGGACGACCGACUGUUUAACAAAAACACAACUUACUGCUAAGCCGUAAGGCCUUGUAUAGUAGGUGACGUCUGCUCAGUGUCAGUAUCUAAAACUCCUUUUCAAGGGAGCUAAGGACUGAUAAACAGCGGGGGUAACUAUAACUCUCUUAAGGUAGCGAAAUACCUUGUCGUUUGAUUGACGACGUGCAUGAAUGGCGUAACGAGUUGUCCACUGUCCCUAUCUAGAACCUUCUGAACACUCUCUUCGGUGUGAAGGCCGAAGACUCCCAGUGGGUCGUGAAGACCCCGUGAAACUUUACUGUAGCCUGUUAUUUCGACGCGAGCCUUGAUGUGUAGGGUAAGUGGAAGACGUUUGAGGCCUGGCUGCCAGGUCAGGUUUAGUCGAAAGAUGAAACACCACUCUUUGAGGCUUACGCCGAUCAUCAAUUGUAUUGAAACAGUAGCAGGUGGACAGUUUAGCUGGGGCGGCAUACCCAUGAAAGUAUAUCAUGGGUGCCCAAUGGUCGGCUCAACCGGGUCAGAAAUCCGGUGUAGAGUGCAAGGGCAAAAGCCGGCCUAACUGGAUUCUUAACAAGACGGAUUUCAGUAGGGAAACCUGGGCCUAGCGAACCACGAUAGCUCCUUGAUGGGGCUUCGUGCUGACCGAAAAGUUACUCCGGGGAUAACAGGGUUGUCGCGCCCGAGAGUUCACAUCGACGGCGCGGCUUGCUACAUCGUUGUCGGCUCUUCCUAUCCUGGGCGUGCAGAAGCGUCCAAGGGUGGGGGUGUUCACCCAUUAAAAGGGAUGUUAGCUGGGUUCACAACGCUGUGAGGCAGUUGGUUUAAUAACUACUGGGAGUGCGCAAUGUCUGAAAGGAAGAAGCAUUUAGUACGAGAGGAACGAUGCUUCGUCGCCUCUGGUCGACCAGUUAUCUUACAAGGUAUGCUGGGCAGCUACGCGAUAAGGGAUAAUGGCUGAAAGCAUCUAAGCCAGAAACCCUCCUUGAAAAGAGACAUGAGGAAUACUCAUAGAAGAUGAGUUUGAUGGAACUGGGGUGUAAGCACCAAGGUAACGAGGUGUUCAGCCUGCAGUCCCCAACA